Molecule: ribosomal RNA, 454 nt
Filed under: uncultured bacterium
Lineage: Bacteria
Description: bacterial SSU rRNA
Rfam family: Bacterial small subunit ribosomal RNA
Source: RNAcentral
CCUACGGGCCGCAGCAGUGGGGAAUAUUGGACAAUGGGCGGAAGCCUGAUCCAGCAACGCCGCGUGAGGGAUGACGGCCUUCGGGUUGUAAACCUCUUUCAGUAUCGACGAAGCGCCCGUGUGGGUGGUGACGGUAGGUACAGAAGAAGCACCGGCCAACUACGUGCCAGCAGCCGCGGUAAUACGUAGGGUGCGGGCGUUGUCCGGAAUUAUUGGGCGUAAAGGGCUCGUAGGCGGUUUGUCGCGUCGGGAGUGAAAACACUGGGCUUAACCGAGUGCUUGCUUCCGAUACGGGCAGACUUGAGGCAUUGAGGGGAGAACGGAAUUCCUGGUGUAGCGGUGAAAUGCGCAGAUAUCAGGAGGAACACCGGUGGCGAAGGCGGUUCUCUGGCAAUGUUCUGACGCUGAGGAGCGAAAGUGUGGGGAGCGAACAGGAUUAGAUACCCCUGUAGUC